GGCCUGUUGGUCUAGUGGCAUGAUUCUCGCUUUGGGUUGCGAUCCCGGGUUCGACUCCCGGACAGGCCC
This 69-nucleotide transfer RNA is filed under the name Desmophyllum pertusum. Its description in RNAcentral is "tRNA-Pro". It matches the Rfam family "tRNA". From Rfam's summary of the family: Transfer RNA (tRNA) molecules are approximately 80 nucleotides in length. Lineage: Eukaryota; Metazoa; Cnidaria; Anthozoa; Scleractinia; Caryophylliidae. The record is from RNAcentral.